AUGAAUCCGCGUCAAAAGGCUAUCGACCAAUCAGCUCUCAGAAUUCUGGAUAUGAACUACUUCACCCUUACUAUAUAUGGUCUUCUCAAUUUCAUCAACAAAUUCAUACCUGCAAAAAAGAAAAAGAAAUCCCAGUAAUUUCUACAGAUAUAGAUCUGUUUUUCCCCAUUUCCAAUUCUCUUAUAAACCCUAACCCGAAUCCGAUUUUGUGCUAAGAGAUGGCGACUGAAGAACCACUUGUAGUAACCGAGAUUGUAACUGAAGCGGUGGUGGUGGAAGCUGAGCCGGCCAAG
This 293-nucleotide long non-coding RNA is filed under the name Nicotiana tabacum (common tobacco). RNAcentral's name for it is "long non-coding RNA (NTAB_LNC011491)". The record is from RNAcentral. Lineage: Eukaryota; Viridiplantae; Streptophyta; Magnoliopsida; Solanales; Solanaceae.